This 395-nucleotide ribosomal RNA is filed under the name uncultured bacterium. RNAcentral describes it as "bacterial SSU rRNA". It matches the Rfam family "Bacterial small subunit ribosomal RNA", at positions 142 to 518 of the family's 1533-position model. The record is from RNAcentral.
AGUAACAUCCGGAAACGGGUGCUAAUACCGCAUAGUUUUCUUGGUCGCAUGAUCGGGAAAGGAAAGACGGCCUUUGUGCUGUCGCUUAUGGAUGGACCCGCGGCGUAUUAGUUAGUUGGUGAGGUAACGGCUCACCAAGACGAUGAUACGUAGCCGACCUGAGAGGUGAUCGGCCACAUUGGGACUGAGACACGGCCCAAACUCCUACGGGAGGCAGCAGUAGGGAAUCUUCCGCAAUGGACGAAAGUCUGACGGAGCAACGCCGCGUGAGUGAAGAAAAGGGUUUUCGGAUCGUAAAACUACUGUUGUCAGAGAAGAACAAGUUGGAGAGUAACUGCUCCAGCCUUGACGGUAUCUGACCAGAAAGCCACGGCUAACUACGUGCCAGCAGCCGC